CCGCUUAGUCCAUUACUGUCCUUUCUCGAUCUUAUCUUAAUUCCUUCUAGAACACCGCACGUUAGUUUUCCAUCCUAAGUACAUGCGAGUUUCUUCCUUAUAAUUCGUUUCUUCUCUCAAUUUUUUUGCAUCAAAAUAUUACCUUUUUUUAUUUCUUUAUCAUUCUUACCCAUGCUAUGAUGUUAUAACAUUAAAUAUAAUAAUAUUACGUAUAUACUACUUUUUAAAACACAAGCAGGAGUGCUUCAUCAGGUAUAAAAGACGAGGUGAUAUUUGAUAAAGCAUGUACAUUGAGUGUUUUAAAUGGCUUAAAAACGACCCAUAUUUUAUGAGUUAGUGGCAAAGGAAUUUUAAAAAUCAACGUUGCAUGUCUAAACCGAGAAAACCAACGCUAAAAUUUAUGCAAAUUAAAAUGAUUUUAUAUCGCAUAUAAA
This is a non-coding RNA of Paramuricea clavata, 434 nucleotides long. The record is from the annotation of a GenBank genome assembly. NCBI's taxonomy places the organism in Eukaryota, Metazoa, Cnidaria, Anthozoa, Malacalcyonacea, Plexauridae.